This is a long non-coding RNA of Paralichthys olivaceus (Japanese flounder), 755 nucleotides long. RefSeq lists it as uncharacterized. The record is from RefSeq and is a predicted model, not a curated record. Lineage: Eukaryota; Metazoa; Chordata; Actinopteri; Pleuronectiformes; Paralichthyidae.
UUGACAGGUCACAUGAACAAACCAACAAUGUGAAACACAAUCCAAACUUUAAUUUCGUAUCUUAACUGACAUACAACACGCAUUUUGAUUUAUCUAGUUGCUUCCCCUCGGUUAUGAAUCGUACGAGGGAUGUAUGAACGCAGCAUGGAGUUAAUUGACGCCACCUGCUGACCGGACUGUUAGCUCAAAAUGCUAAAAGGAGCAGACCAUUGAUCCCUGUGUAAUUCUUCUUUUACAUUUACGUUGAAGUUGCUCGGCUACCAUGUUUGUCUGCUGUAAAACCAACAAACACACCAUCUCCUUGCACUUAGGAAUCUCCGACAGGGAGAGGAUUCUCUUCAAAGCUGAAGUGUAAACGGGUUAAAGCACGAAAAACAAGGCGGCUUUCCCUCAUGGCACUGCAAUGCAGAUAUGUCUUGCACAGUGGCAGGAAACUAUGAAGACGCUUGUGAAAGAAGAAUAUAAGAGAGAGAGGAGGGAAGGGCAUGAAAGACAAGACCAAAGCACCAAGGAAAGAGCCAGCUAACAGCAGGGGAAGUGUGGCGGAAAAUUACAGUCUUCACAUGCCAGCCAGGAAGCUGUUGCUGCUGCUCAGUGGGGGCCAGUGCUGUGUGAAGAAGACAGAAGAAUUUGGGAGGAUGUUUAGUCUAUAAUGCCCGUGUGGAAGCAGAGGAAAUGUUUGAAUAUGUGGUCUUGCACUUUAGUCCAUAUUUUAACUAGUUUGAGCAGAAGAUUUUACACAUUUUCUGCCUGUC